CCCGUAUGAGGAUCAACUACAUGAUAUUCUUCACACACAUCCCGAAAUGUUAAAGGAACUGUCAAAAAUCGAAAGGUUAUAAUGGUUUCUCCUUAAUGACUGAUGAUAUGGAACUCACAAGCCUUUCCAAGCCAAAAAUAAAAAACAAAAGAACAAAAGAAAAAGCACACUAAGUCGAAUUACCAAAGAAAUAACUUAGGAAAAUAAUAGGGCAUCCUAGUGGAAUGAAAGCUUCAAAAAAG
RNAcentral lists this long non-coding RNA (242 nucleotides) under Lathyrus oleraceus (garden pea). RNAcentral's name for it is "Pisum sativum (pea) long non-coding RNA (PSAT_LNC031564)". The record is from RNAcentral. Lineage: Eukaryota; Viridiplantae; Streptophyta; Magnoliopsida; Fabales; Fabaceae.